GAUGAAGAACGCAGCGAAAUGUGAUACGUAAUGUGAAUUGCAGAAUUCAGUGAAUCAUCGAAUCUUUGAACGCAUAUUGCGCUCUCUGGUAUUCCGGAGAGCAUGCUUGUUUGAGUAUCAGUAAACACCUCAACUUCCAUAUCUUUUUUGAAAUGGGAGUUGGACUUGAGUGAUCCCAACGCUUUUCCUCACCGAAAAGUGGCGGGUUACUUGAAAUGCAGGUGCAGCUGGACUUUUCUCUGAGCUAUAAGCAUAUCUAUUUAGUCUGCCUAAAAAACAGAUUAUUACCUUUGCUGCAGCUAACAUAAAGGAGAUUAGUUCUUGUGCUGACCGAUGCAGGAUUCACAAAGACAGGCUUCGGCCGACUUUGUAAACUCGAUCUCAAAUCAAGUAAGACUACCCGCUGAACUUAAGCAUAUCAAUAAGCGGAGGA
This 433-nucleotide unclassified non-coding RNA is filed under the name soil metagenome. RNAcentral's name for it is "partial contains 5.8S ribosomal RNA, internal transcribed spacer 2, and large subunit ribosomal RNA". The stretch from base 1 to 120 matches the Rfam family "5.8S ribosomal RNA", at positions 35 to 154 of the family's 154-position model. The record is from RNAcentral.